Molecule: ribosomal RNA, 448 nt
Filed under: uncultured bacterium
Lineage: Bacteria
Description: partial 16S ribosomal RNA
Rfam family: Bacterial small subunit ribosomal RNA
Source: RNAcentral
GGCCAGACUCCUACGGGAGGCAGCAGUGGGGGAUAUUGCACAAUGGGGGGAACCCUGAUGCAGCGACGCCGCGUGGGUGAAGGAGCGUUUCGGCGCGUAAAGCCCUAUCGGCAGGGAAGAAGGAGGACGGUACCUGACUAAGAAGCCCCGGCUAACUACGUGCCAGCAGCCGCGGUAAUACGUAGGGGGCAAGCGUUAUCCGGAUUUACUGGGUGUAAAGGGUGCGCAGGCGGCACGGCAAGCCGGCGGUCAAAUCGCGGGGCUCAACCCCGCCCAGCCGUCGGAACUGCCGGGCUAGAGUGGGCGAGAAGUGCGCGGAAUGCGUGGUGUAGCGGUGAAAUGCAUAGAUAUCACGCAGAACUCCGAUUGCGAAGGCAGCGCACCGGCGCCCUACUGACGCUCAGGCACGAAAGCGUGGGUAUCGAACAGGAUUAGAUACCCUUUGUAC